Molecule: non-coding RNA, 28 nt
Filed under: Homo sapiens (human)
Lineage: Eukaryota; Metazoa; Chordata; Mammalia; Primates; Hominidae
Source: RNAcentral
UCCUAACUCUGGUGGAACGAAUGGAUGA